CCUACGGGUGGCAGCAGUGAGGAAUAUUGGUCAAUGGACGAGAGUCUGAACCAGCCAAGUAGCGUGAAGGAUGACUGCCCUAUGGGUUGUAAACUUCUUUUAUAUGGGAAUAAAAUGUUCCACGUGUGGGAUUUUGUAUGUACCAUAUGAAUAAGGAUCGGCUAACUCCGUGCCAGCAGCCGCGGUAAUACGGAGGAUCCGAGCGUUAUCCGGAUUUAUUGGGUUUAAAGGGAGCGUAGGUGGAUUGUUAAGUCAGUUGUGAAAGUUUGCGGCUCAACCGUAAAAUUGCAGUUGAAACUGGCAGUCUUGAGUACAGUAGAGGUGGGCGGAAUUCGUGGGGUAGCGGUGAAAUGCUUAGAUAUCACGAAGAACUCCGAUUGCGAAGGCAGUUCACUGGACUGCAACUGACACUGAGGCUCGAAAGUGUGGGUAUCAAACAGGAUUAGAUACCCGAGUAGUC
RNAcentral lists this ribosomal RNA (460 nucleotides) under uncultured bacterium. Its description in RNAcentral is "partial 16S ribosomal RNA". It matches the Rfam family "Bacterial small subunit ribosomal RNA", at positions 338 to 795 of the family's 1533-position model. The record is from RNAcentral.